RNAcentral lists this long non-coding RNA (206 nucleotides) under Elaeis guineensis (African oil palm). RNAcentral's name for it is "long non-coding RNA (EGUI_LNC011811)". The record is from RNAcentral. Lineage: Eukaryota; Viridiplantae; Streptophyta; Magnoliopsida; Arecales; Arecaceae.
AUGAAACCUCAUUUAAAGUUUUGUGCUCUUAUUCAAGGAUUUAUGCUUGUAGAAUUUUUUGUCUAUCAUGUGUGAUUGAGAAAAAAAUGCACCAUUUCAUCUAAUUGGACAACAUAAUACAAUUAAUAAAGAGCAGAUAUUUAAUGCAGCUAAGAUUUUUUUUUCAUUUUUUUUCUAACUAAAAUACUAUUUUUUAUUGAAUGCUA